RNAcentral lists this ribosomal RNA (879 nucleotides) under Loigolactobacillus coryniformis. RNAcentral's name for it is "bacterial SSU rRNA". It matches the Rfam family "Bacterial small subunit ribosomal RNA", at positions 56 to 914 of the family's 1533-position model. The record is from RNAcentral. Lineage: Bacteria; Bacillati; Bacillota; Bacilli; Lactobacillales; Lactobacillaceae.
UGACGUCGACCGAAGCUGCUUGCAGUGGACGUUGAUUGACGUGAGUGGCGGACGGGUGAGUAACACGUGGGUAACCUACCCUUAAGUGGGGGAUAACAUUUGGAAACAGAUGCUAAUACCGCAUAACCAUUCAGACCACAUGGUCUGAAUGUAAAAGACGGCCUUUGGCUGUCACUUUUGGACGGACCCGCGGCGUAUUAGUUAGUUGGUAAGGUAACGGCUUACCAAGACAAUGAUACGUAGCCGACCUGAGAGGGUAAUCGGCCACAUUGGGACUGAGACACGGCCCAAACUCCUACGGGAGGCAGCAGUAGGGAAUCUUCCACAAUGGACGAAAGUCUGAUGGAGCAACGCCGCGUGAGUGAAGAAGGUUUUAGGAUCGUAAAACUCUGUUGUUGGAGAAGAACAGGGACUAGAGUAACUGUUAGUCCUUUGACGGUAUCCAACCAGAAAGCCACGGCUAACUACGUGCCAGCAGCCGCGGUAAUACGUAGGUGGCAAGCGUUGUCCGGAUUUAUUGGGCGUAAAGCGAGCGCAGGCGGUUUUUUAAGUCUGAUGUGAAAGCCUUCGGCUUAACCGAAGAAGUGCAUUAGAAACUGGGAAACUUGAGUGCAGAAGAGGACAGUGGAACUCCAUGUGUAGCGGUGAAAUGCGUAGAUAUAUGGAAGAACACCAGUGGCGAAGGCGGCUGUCUGGUCUGUAACUGACGCUGAGGCUCGAAAGUAUGGGGAGCGAACAGGAUUAGAUACCCUGGUAGUCCAUACCGUAAACGAUGAAUGCUAAGUGUUGGAGGGUUUCCGCCCUUCAGUGCUGCAGCUAACGCAUUAAGCAUUCCGCCUGGGGAGUACGACCGCAAGGUUGAAACUCAAAGGAAUUGAC